Molecule: ribosomal RNA, 505 nt
Filed under: uncultured bacterium
Lineage: Bacteria
Description: bacterial SSU rRNA
Rfam family: Bacterial small subunit ribosomal RNA
Source: RNAcentral
AUUCUGGCUCAGGAUGAACGCUGGCGGCGUGCUUAAUACAUGCAAGUCGAACGAAGCACUUUUGACAGAUCCCCUCGGGGUGAAGAUGAUUGUGACUUAGUGGCGGACGGGUGAGUAACGCGUGGGGAACCUGCCUCGUGCUGGGGGAUAACAGUUAGAAAUGACUGCUAAUACCGCAUAAGCGCACAGUAAGGCAUCUUACAGUGUGAAAAGAUUUAUCGGCAUGAGAUGGACCCGCGUCUGAUUAGGUAGUUGGCGGGGUAACGGCCCACCAAGCCCGCGAUCAGUAGCCGACUUGAGAGAGUGAUCGGCCACAUUGGGACUGAGACACGGCCCAGACUCCUACGGGAGGCAGCAGUAGGGAAUAUUGCACAAUGGGGGAAACCCUGAUGCAAGCGACGCCGCGUGAGUGAUGAAGUAUUUCGGUACGUAAAACUCUAUCAGCAGGGAAGAUAAUGACGGUACCUGACUAAGAAGCCCCGGCUAACUACGUGCCAGCAGCCGC